RNAcentral lists this long non-coding RNA (265 nucleotides) under Rattus norvegicus (Norway rat). RNAcentral describes it as "long non-coding RNA NONRATT015179". Lineage: Eukaryota; Metazoa; Chordata; Mammalia; Rodentia; Muridae. The record is from RNAcentral.
UACAAAUGAGAAAACACAGCUAAUCAGAGAAGGAUCUCGAAGUUACUGCACAGACUCUUGAUGAUGGGCUCAUGGAGGGUCCACAGCUCCUCUUUUUGGUUCAGCCGUGUCUCUGGGUUGUCAUGAGGGAGGUGCAAACAUGAAAUGCUGUGAACAUAUUCACAUUUGUAUUUUAUUUUUAGGUUAAGGGGAAGAUGAUUGCUACAUAAUUUUCUCAGACUUUCUCUUUGAGUAGAAUCCUAAUGAAAAGCAUUCAGUUUAUGAA